This 119-nucleotide ribosomal RNA is filed under the name Glossina brevipalpis. Lineage: Eukaryota; Metazoa; Arthropoda; Insecta; Diptera; Glossinidae. The record is from RNAcentral.
GCCAAUAACUAUACCUCGUUGAAUACAUCGGUUCUCGUCCGAUCACCGAAAAUAAACAGCGUCGGGCGCGGUUAGUACUUAGAUGGGUGACGGCUUGCGAACACAGCGUGUUGUCGGCA